ACUAACCCUCCUUCGUCUUUACAAUCCCAUUUUCUUUUAGGGGACCUUUGCUUUCCACUUUCCACUACAAAGUUCUAAACAUUAACUGUGUAUUUUCGAUAUAUGUAUAGAGCAAAUACUCUCUGAUUUUAGGUGUCAAAACAGCACUUGAAUCUUUUCAUCCAAGGAGACUCACAAAGUCCAGAAUAGAGAAUACGCCUCCUCUGUUGUGGGCAUCACUGGAUUAUGUCAUCAGAGAACUGUCUGAAUUCUUGAAUCCUCCUGAGACUGAGUCUAUAGAAUCAAAGUGAGAUGCAAAAACCCAGGCCCAGAGAGAUGAAGAAACCUGGCUAAGGUAACAUGUAAGUUAGUGUCAAAAUCAGGAUAAAACCCAGAUCUUCUGACUCUUAGUAUAGCUCUCUUUUUACCCAGCCACACUGCCUGUGUCCCUGGGACUGUUAGUAAAAUAACAGGUGAGCUGGACCCCCUUUUUGAGAUGACUGGGUAUGUUUACUGUCUGGGUCAGAUCAGUCAAGUACUCUGAGUCUAGGGUUGUUCCUAGAACAGAAGCUGGGGUUGAUGAGCAUUUGUGAGUAUUGGAGAAGGAGUGAGGGGGAGAAGCCUCACACGCAAACCCAGGCCCUGGUUUCAAUUUCGUGUAUGAGAUUACCUGAGAACGGAAUGCAAGUAACAGGCAAAUAAUUGACAUCUCAAACCUAACUGUGUAUGCAUCCUGAGUAGCUAAUAGUGAGCUGUUCACUACUAAUGCUGUGUGUAGGUUCAUCCCAAAGACAGGCUGAUCCACACAUAGACAGGCUGGUCCUAUGAUUAAGGAGUGUGAGCUGGCAUUCCCUUUAUCAGGACAAAGAUAGGUUCUGCUUCCUCUGGAUAGUCUUCAGGCAAAGCUUUACUUAUGGCCUUGCAAAUAACCCAUGGUCUCUUGGUCGAUGAACAAAAUAGCAGUAAAGAAGAUGAAUUCUCCUUAUUUAUCUUCAGUUUUCUCCCUGGAGUGAAAGUGAGGGUUAUUCUCUGGUAUAUUAGAAAAAUAGUACAUUAUACUACCUAAUGGGUUUCAGUCUGACUCAAAAUGAAAG
This 1073-nucleotide long non-coding RNA is filed under the name Homo sapiens (human). Its description in RNAcentral is "HSALNT0375634". The record is from RNAcentral. Lineage: Eukaryota; Metazoa; Chordata; Mammalia; Primates; Hominidae.